Long non-coding RNA from Frieseomelitta varia, 221 nucleotides. RefSeq lists it as uncharacterized. The transcript is spliced from 2 exons. Lineage: Eukaryota; Metazoa; Arthropoda; Insecta; Hymenoptera; Apidae. The record is from RefSeq and is a predicted model, not a curated record.
AAGCUUGCGUUUUAUGUUUUGUUUGAGUAUAGUUUACGUAUAUAAAGAAUGUUUCAAUUCCGUUUACGUUAGGAGCAGUGCCAGUAGUGAGUGCAUAAUUUCUCGCAAACUAUAGUGAAUAUUAGAUUCAAAUUUAUUUGCGAACAGCGUUAGUUCCACCAGUCUGCCACAACGCGGCGCUAGUGUUUCUUACCCCGUAAAACAGAGAAAUUUUCAUUUGC